Molecule: ribosomal RNA, 255 nt
Filed under: uncultured bacterium
Lineage: Bacteria
Description: partial 16S ribosomal RNA
Rfam family: Bacterial small subunit ribosomal RNA
Source: RNAcentral
AGCGAACGCUGGCGGCGUACUUAACACAUGCAAGUCGAACGAGGAUCAUCGGGUUAGCAAUAAUUCGGUGGUCCUAGUGGCGCACGGGUGAGUAACACGUGGGUGACCUGCCCUUGAGCUCGGGGAUACCCCCUCGAAAGGGGGACGUAAUACCGGAUACGUUCCUCGGUCGAAAGACUGAGGAGGAAAGGUGGCGCAAGCUGCCGCUCUUGGAGGGGCUCGCGGCCUAUCAGCAGUUGGCGGGGUAACGGCCCA